Molecule: ribosomal RNA, 794 nt
Filed under: uncultured archaeon
Lineage: Archaea
Description: bacterial SSU rRNA
Rfam family: Archaeal small subunit ribosomal RNA
Source: RNAcentral
UACUGCUCAGUAACACGUGGACAACCUACCCUUGGGACGGGGAUAAACCCGGGAAACUGGGUAUAAUACCCGAUAGGUCUCGAAUGCUGGAAUGCUUUGAGAUUUAAAACUCCGGUGCCCAAGGAUGGGUCUGCGGCCUAUCAGGUAGUAGUGGGUGUAGCGUACCUACUAGCCUACGACGGGUACGGGUUGUGAGAGCAAGAGCCCGGAGAUGGAUUCUGAGACACGAAUCCAGGCCCUACGGGGUGCAGCAGGCGCGAAAACUUUACAAUGCCGGCAACGGCGAUAAGGGAACCUCGAGUGCCAGGUUACAAAUCUGGCUGUCGUGAUGCCUAAAAAGCAUUGCAUAGCAAGGGCCGGGCAAGACCGGUGCCAGCCGCCGCGGUAACACCGGCGGCUCGAGUGGUAACCGUUAUUAUUGGGUCUAAAGGGUCUGUAGCCGGCCGGGUAAGUCUCUUGGGAAAUCUGGCAGCUUAACUGUCAGGCUUUCAGGAGAUACUGCCUGGCUCGAGGCCGGGAGAGGUGAGAGGUACUUCAGGGGUAGGGGUGAAAUCUUGUAAUCCUUGAAGGACCACCAGUGGCGAAGGCGUCUCACCAGAACGGACCUGACGGCAAGGGACGAAAGCUAGGGGCACGAACCGGAUUAGAUACCCGGGUAGUCCUAGCCGUAAACGAUACUCGCUAGGUGUCGGCCACGGUGCGACCGUGGUCGGUGCCGUAGGGAAGCCGUGAAGCGAGCCAGCUGGGAAGUACGGCCGCAAGGCUGAAACUUAAAGGAAUUGGCGGGGGAGCAC